This 211-nucleotide ribosomal RNA is filed under the name uncultured bacterium. Its description in RNAcentral is "partial 16S ribosomal RNA". It matches the Rfam family "Bacterial small subunit ribosomal RNA", at positions 1290 to 1500 of the family's 1533-position model. The record is from RNAcentral.
AGUUCGGACUGUAGGCUGCAACUCGCCUACACGAAGUUGGAAUUGCUAGUAAUCGUGGAUCAGCAUGCCACGGUGAAUACGUUCCCGGGCCUUGUACACACCGCCCGUCACACCAUGGGAGCUGGUAACACCCGAAGUCAGUAGUCUAACCGCAAGGAGGACGCUGCCGAAGGUGGGAUUAGCGACUGGGGUGAAGUCGUAACAAGGUAAC